UUAUUUUUCGGUAGUGAUAGGUGAUUUCUCUGCCGCCUGUGAAAUGAGCCAAUUCAAGCCAGAUUAGAUUAUAUUAAAUGCAGCUUUAUUGGGAAGCUGAUUUCAGGAAAAAGAAACUUACCAGUCCCAGGAAGGUAGAGGGGUUAUUCUAGAAUCUUAAGGUGGGGGACUAAGCCUCUUGCUUCCAAGCCACUGGAUCCAUCAGCUGCUCCUGUCUCAACAGAAGUAAAGCUCACUCUGUAGCAAGG
Molecule: long non-coding RNA, 248 nt
Organism: Grammomys surdaster
Lineage: Eukaryota; Metazoa; Chordata; Mammalia; Rodentia; Muridae
Exons: 3
Source: RefSeq, a predicted model, not a curated record